GGAAACCAAACUUCAAGCUAUCACCAACUUUCCUUCAUGAUCUGUCUGUAUUUUUACUUUUCUUUCUUCUUACUUCUCUUUAUUUUGCUUUUUCAGUUAUGAUACUCUCUUUUUAAUGCUCAAUCAACUCAUUCAUUCACCUUAUUAUGCGUUGUAAGUUUGGUAACACUUAAAAUUAUGUCUAAAGUAUAUGUACAUUUCACCUCCAUAAAUGUAAUUUGGUAAAAGGUAAGAGCCUUUGUCUCCAUACAUGGUAUUUGAUCGCAGCUCUCUCAGCUCUAGUAAAUUACAUUCAAUUAAUGUAAUUGUCAUAGUUAUAACAAUACUUAUACCUUACUUUGAUGUACACCACAUAAAAUCAAAUACUAAUUAAAACUUAUUUAAUUUUAUGUAAUUUUAAGAAAAGUGAUUCCAGGUAUAUAUAGAAAAAGUUAGAAAAUACGACACUUUAGUUGCUUGUCAUGCAACUACCUAGGUGCAAUGGAGUGUUAAAUAUUCUCGGUUCCUGAUCAGAGGUAUAUUAAGUUUAAACUUCUGUUAUAACUAAUUAACCACUUUUAAUAGGAAAUACUUUACCUUAUUAACCACUUUUAAUAAGAAAUACUUUACCUUGAUAUAUAUAUAUAUAUAUAUAUAUAUAUAUAUAUGUGACUUCUCACACAUAUUUUGAUAUAUCCGAGAGCCAACACACAUANNNNNNNNNNNNNNNNNNNNNNNNNNNNNNNNNNNNNNNNNNNNNNNNNNNNNNNNNNNNNNNNNNNNNNNNNNNNNNNNNNNNNNNNNNNNNNNNNNNNNNNNNNNNNNNNNNNNNNNNNNNNNNNNNNNNNNNNNNNNNNNNNNNNNNNNNNNNNNNNNNNNNNNNNNNNNNNNNNNNNNNNNNNNNNNNNNNNNNNNNNNNNNNNNNNNNNNNNNNNNNNNNNNNNNNNNNNNNNNNNNNNNNNNNNNNNNNNNNNNNNNNNNNNNNNNNNNNNNNNNNNNNNNNNNNNNNNNNNNNNNNNNNNNNNNNNNNNNNNNNNNNNNNNNNNNNNNNNNNNNNNNNNNNNNNNNNNNNNNNNNNNNNNNNNNNNNNNNNNNNNNNNNNNNNNNNNNNNNNNNNNNNNNNNNNNNNNNNNNNNNNNNNNNNNNNNNNNNNNNNNNNNNNNNNNNNNNNNNNNNNNNNNNNNNNNNNNNNNNNNNNNNNNNNNNNNNNNNNNNNNNNNNNNNNNNNNNNNNNNNNNNNNNNNNNNNNNNNNNNNNNNNNNNNNNNNNNNNNNNNNNNNNNNNNNNNNNNNNNNNNNNNNNNNNNNNNNNNNNNNNNNNNNNNNNNNNNNNNNNNNNNNNNNNNNNNNNNNNNNNNNNNNNNNNNNNNNNNNNNNNNNNNNNNNNNNNNNNNNNNNNNNNNNNNNNNNNNNNNNNNNNNNNNNNNNNNNNNNNNNNNNNNNNNNNNNNNNNNNNNNNNNNNNNNNNNNNNNNNNNNNNNNNNNNNNNNNNNNNNNNNNNNNNNNNNNNNNNNNNNNNNNNNNNNNNNNNNNNNNNNNNNNNNNNNNNNNNNNNNNNNNNNNNNNNNNNNNNNNNNNNNNNNNNNNNNNNNNNNNNNNNNNNNNNNNNNNNNNNNNNNNNNNNNNNNNNNNNNNNNNNNNNNNNNNNNNNNNNNNNNNNNNNNNNNNNNNNNNNNNNNNNNNNNNNNNNNNNNNNNNNNNNNNNNNNNNNNNNNNNNNNNNNNNNNNNNNNNNNNNNNNNNNNNNNNNNNNNNNNNNNNNNNNNNNNNNNNNNNNNNNNNNNNNNNNNNNNNNNNNNNNNNNNNNNNNNNNNNNNNNNNNNNNNNNNNNNNNNNNNNNNNNNNNNNNNNNNNNNNNNNNNNNNNNNNNNNNNNNNNNNNNNNNNNNNNNNNNNNNNNNNNNNNNNNNNNNNNNNNNNNNNNNNNNNNNNNNNNNNNNNNNNNNNNNNNNNNNNNNNNNNNNNNNNNNNNNNNNNNNNNNNNNNNNNNNNNNNNNNNNNNNNNNNNNNNNNNNNNNNNNNNNNNNNNNNNNNNNNNNNNNNNNNNNNNNNNNNNNNNNNNNNNNNNNNNNNNNNNNNNNNNNNNNNNNNNNNNNNNNNNNNNNNNNNNNNNNNNNNNNNNNNNNNNNNNNNNNNNNNNNNNNNNNNNNNNNNNNNNNNNNNNNNNNNNNNNNNNNNNNNNNNNNNNNNNNNNNNNNNNNNNNNNNNNNNNNNNNNNNNNNNNNNNNNNNNNNNNNNNNNNNNNNNNNNNNNNNNNNNNNNNNNNNNNNNNNNNNNNNNNNNNNNNNNNNNNNNNNNNNNNNNNNNNNNNNNNNNNNNNNNNNNNNNNNNNNNNNNNNNNNNNNNNNNNNNNNNNNNNNNNNNNNNNNNNNNNNNNNNNNNNNNNNNNNNNNNNNNNNNNNNNNNNNNNNNNNNNNNNNNNNNNNNNNNNNNNNNNNNNNNNNNNNNNNNNNNNNNNNNNNNNNNNNNNNNNNNNNNNNNNNNNNNNNNNNNNNNNNNNNNNNNNNNNNNNNNNNNNNNNNNNNNNNNNNNNNNNNNNNNNNNNNNNNNNNNNNNNNNNNNNNNNNNNNNNNNNNNNNNNNNNNNNNNNNNNNNNNNNNNNNNNNNNNNNNNNNNNNNNNNNNNNNNNNNNNNNNNNNNNNNNNNNNNNNNNNNNNNNCCUUGAUAUAUAUAUAUAUAUAUAUAUAUAUAUAUAUAUGAGACUUCUAACACAUAUUCUGAUCUAGCCGAGAUCCAACACAAAUAUCAUAUACCUCGAGGAGAAAAAAAAUUGCUUUUUAUGGUAAGCUAGACCAAGUGUAGUUAAAGGGAGUGCAGUGCAAAUGAGGACUCUACUAUUUAGUUUAAAAGAAACUUUUUUUUCUUAGUAGGACAUUAGGCAAAAUUGGUUGGCCAAUAUACUUUGAAAAAAAUAUUCAUUCAUUAAUUUCAUCCACUAGUUUAACACUUGGUGGUUUUUUGACUCUUCAAACAAUUUUUAUACCAUUCACUACACAACACAAUAUAUAUAUAACUAACAGAAACACUUUAGCAAUCUCACCACUCUUCUCUAUUCCUUCAUCACUCUUCUCUCUUUUUCAUAUUCACUUGCUUCACUUCCACUUACUUUUCUUAACCUUUUUUUCUCUUAUGGAAUUCUCUGAGGACUCAAUCGAUCGGACUUUGGUGUUCAAAGGAAAGCGCAGUAAGCGGCCACGGCAGUUCAUGGCGGUAGCGAUGGUCACUUCCACGUCAUCAACCGCCUGCGACGGUGGCGCUGGUGGUGGUGCAAGUGGCAGCAACGGAGGCAGUGGUGACGUCGGACGUGGAGGUCAUGAGAUUUACUCUUCAUCACCAACUACUUCAACUACUCAGAUAUCAACUAGCAGUACAUCAGAGGAAGAUGAAGAUAUGGCUAAUUGUUUAAUACUAUUAGCGCAAAGUGGCCGAUGUGAGAAACUACAAGUUGAAACUACUGAACGUAAGAUGGUGAAAAUCAGUAGCCGAAAGUUUGCAGAAAUGGCCACAACAUCUACUGGAUCAAAAGCUGGGUUCUAUGUCUACGAGUGCAAAACUUGUAACAGAACUUUCCCGUCUUUUCAAGCACUUGGUGGGCAUAGAACAAGUCACAAAAAAAUCAAAACCGUAACUGAAGAUAAAAAAUCUACUGCUGAUUCAAAUUCUCAAUUACAGCAAGGGCAUCAUCAUCAACAACAACUACUGCAUCAACACGAAGAAAAGUCCAGUCGGAUUAUCACGCCAUCAGUUAAUUAUUCCACAGGUAAUUCGAAUUCAGUUGCCAAUUUGAUCAACAUCAAGCCAAAAAUCCACGAGUGUUCAAUUUGCGGGGCGGAAUUCUCAUCAGGUCAAGCUUUAGGUGGACACAUGAGAAGACAUAGACCACCAACAAUUACAACAACAGCAACAAACACUAAAAAUAUUACUGUUGAUGAAAUCAGCAACACUUCAGAUAAUUCAUCACAUGAUGAAAAUUCAAAGGAGAAUAAGCCAAAAAUAUUCUUAUCGCUUGAUCUGAAUCUUCCAGCGUCACCGGAAGAUCAUGAUCAUCAACGAGAUGCAGCUAAUUUUGAAUUUUCAGCUAACCAGCAAAAUCUCAUGUUUUCUGCUGCUGCUUUGGUGGAUUGUCAUUACUAGUUAAACAGAAAACAAAUCAGUUUUACUUACUUUUUUUUUGUUGACACUUUAAUUUGGAAUUAUUAUAAUUUGUAGAAUCAUUGUUAUUGCUAUUUAUAUUUAUUACUAUUCUUCAUAAUUUUGAUUGUAGAUUGUGUAUAUAUCCUUUUCGGGAGAACAAGUUGUUUUAAUCAAUGUUGAUUAUCUACCUUUUUUCUUUGAAGUUUUUUCACUACUUUCAAGUGGUUAGUGUUCACGUUUGCUUUUCAUUCACGAAAAGGGUGAAGUGAUGGGGCAUCUUUAAAUAUACAGAGACGGAUAUAGUAGGAAAAAAAUUUUCAUAUUUUUUUUUCUUUUGUAAUUUUUCUCGAGUGGAGAGCGAUGUGUAACACAUUGACACUCCACAAAACCAAAACCCAAAAAAAAGAUGGUACUUGAGAGGAGGGAUUCGAUGACAUAUUGUAUUUUCAAAAAUUAGUAUUAGUUAAAUUUAGUGAUUUUUACAAGUAUAUUUGUAGAAAAUAAUGGGUUCAGUUGAAUCCGUUGUGAAUUGUGACACUGUCGCUUUCUGAGUAUGGCUAACCAAAAGUUUGUGGAUCAGGUUCUUUUUCUGUGUGAUGUUGUGAUUACUACUAGCAGAAAACAGCUAAAAUAUAGUGGAACUCAUCUGUUGUGACUUUGCUAACCAAAAGUUUGUGGAUCAGGUUCUCUUUUUGUGUGAUGUUGUGAUUACUAAUAGCAGAAAACACCUAUAAUAAAGUGGAGCUCCUUAUGUUGUUUCUUUUCAAUAACAAUUAAAAUUAAAUAAAAAUGGAUAAGGGAAGCCGGGUGGGUAAACGCCAAUUCCAUGUGAAUGCCACCUGUAUACAUUUUCUUGUCUUUGUUUCUUUCAUCCAGCUAAGUACCUACUUAAGUCACUUAUAUUUGUUUCUUCUUCUAGUACUAUGAUAUGAUCUGUCCCUAAUCUUUUGCAUUAAAAUUUGGUGUCAAAAUAGUGAUCGAUCACAGAUGGAGUUUCGUUUUUUAAAUCUUUUUAUUUUGUGAUAACCAUAAUUUCAUCGCUGUCCUAUCACUAAUUAGGGACAUAAUGGCAUUCAGUGUAUUGUGGAAUAGAUGUAGCAGCUCUCAGCCAACCCAUCACACCUAAUUUUUAAUGUAAUCGUCCCUUACUUUUCAAGCUUCUUAACAACUAAAAAUAACUUUACUUGUGCAGUGAGCGUUGUCAUACCAGAAAUAAUAGACAUUGCAAAUCACACGUCACGAGCAGUUGGGAAUAAGGUCUAAAGUUUACACCGCAUCUAAUAUAAUAAUUGUGCUUUGUAAAACUUGGGCUCUAUAUAUCAGUGAAAAUUCUCUACAGUCCAUGGUUUAGGUAAGCGCACAAGAGUUGUUUUUUUUCUCUAAUUUUAAGAUUGUGAAUUCGAGUCGCCAAGCAAGCAAACACUAUAAUUAUCAUGAGUGUUUUUCCAUUACGUUAGAUUAAAGUUCAAACACAAAAACACAAGUUAUGAAACACAAGGCUAGCUGAUCAUCUGACUGCAAAUCUACUUAGACUACAUAAAAAGCAAUCUUGUUAUAACCUUGAUUAUUCACUCUCAAAAUCAUACAUAGCCAUGUAGCUUAUAGAUUUAUAUUUUUAAGAUCUUUUUUACUAAUAUUAGGGGCAGCCCCAAAAGAGGGGAAUAGGAAUUGACGGCAUAAGUUGCCUAAAUAAAUAUUUUACUAUUUAAUGAUGUUUGUUAUGUGCACGUUUCGAUGAUUAUUGGUAAUUAAGCUAUGCAUGUUGAUACAUUGGUACCUUGUUUGGGAUAUUAUGUCCAAAUACAAUGUGUAUCUAUGUGUGGAAGAGAGUUGGCUAUUAAAGAGGAAAGAUUGGUGCACAUGUAGUGGGGGACUAAGUACUUGAUCAGUUUAUCUUUCUUUUUUGUUCCGUGUUUGAUACUCCAAUUGAAGCCUGAUACUAUAAAGCUUGUUUCACGUUGAAAAAUUUUAUAUUAAAAUGAAACGCUUAAGAUAAAUGAUUCUAUACCUGAAAAAUUUGAUCUCGAUCUCAAUCUCUCAUUAAAAAUGGGGGUUCUUAUUAUUCCAACGUAACCUCUGGUUGGUGUACUUGUUCAGUAUAACUCAUAAAUUAUCUUGUAUUAAUUUCAACUAUUAUAAAAUGGAUGUUUUUUUUUAAGUUACGUUUUCUAUAGUGACAUUUCAAAAGAGUUGUAUAGAAGUCAAAUUAUAUCCAACUAUUUAGAAUCAAUGGUAAUUUGAAAGAAGUUAAGUUAGCUAAACCUAUACUAAUUGUACGUAUAAAAAUGUGAACGUUGGAGCUAGAUAGAUUAUGUUAAUUUUGUGAAAAUCCUCUACAUCAUCGGUAAAUAUAAGUAAAAGGAGAUAUAAAGGACCCUGUGUCCAAUAUAAAUUACUUUUUGUGUCUCAAUUUAUGUGACACGAAUUAUAUUUAGAAAGUCAGUAAAAUUUUUACAUGUUCUUUUAAUUUAUAAUAUUUUUUAUAUAAUUUUCAAAUAAAUAUAAGUUACUCUGUCUCAAUUUAUGACAUUGAUACAAUUUCAGUCAACUAAAUUUUUAUAUAUCUUUAAAUAUUUUAAAUUGUUAAUUAUUGUAUUUAUAGUACUUUUUAUAUUAUUUUUUCAAAUAAUAUAUUACACUUCUUUUGUUUCAAUUUAUGUGAAACUAAUAAAACUUUGAGAAUAAAUCAAAUUUUUGUGUCUUUUAAAUAUUUUAAGUUAUUAAUAUUAUGAUUUUUAUUACUUUUUAUGUGAUUUUUAAAUACAUAAAAUAAAUAUAUGUUAUCUAACAGUAUGAAAUAACCAUAAAAAGGGAGGAGUCAAUCAAAUUGGCCCCUUUGUCUUUUAGAAGUAAGGAGAAUUCAUCAUUGAAAAGCAUUACUAAUUUUAAUUUAGAAAAAAAAAAAUUGAAUUGGAUUAGUAUUUCAAAUUAUUAUACGUGGAAUAGCAAAGAAGUAAUAUAGCAAAGUCAAUGAUCAAAUUAUCUGUUACGCAUAAUUCACAGUUUGGAAAUUCCGUCGAGUUGUCAACGUGUUAAUUAUACCUGUCCACAGUUGAAGGUUUCACUAGCUAGUGACGGCGUAGGAUGAUGCACGUUGCUAUUAAAAGAAAUACAUAUGUACCACUAUUAUACGUAUUGAGUUAUACCAAUUUAUAAUGAUUGAAUGACAAAAUAAUUAAAAAUAUGUAGUACAUUUUCUGGUUAAAUUUAUGUGAUUUUAUUUUGUUUGUGAUUCAAAUAAUAUUUAGAUCCACAUUUACAAUGUGAUUUCAUCAUAUUUGACAUGAGAAUAAUCAACAAUUUAAGUUUAUUUUUAUGAUUUUGAAUAUUAAAUUUUAAUUUAAAAUAAGUAUCUUUAAAAAUUAUUUUCCAAAAUUAAAAAGUGCCACAAAAUUUACAAGCGAGGGAAUAGUAAUUAUUUUUGACCUUUUGCUAAAAGUUCGCACCUUUUAAUUUUCUUGAUAAUUCGAACCCGUGUGGGAGGCGAAAGAUGCUUGUCAUGAGGGAAAAGUAAUUAACCAUUGUUAAGUGAUAAUUUUUAUAUUUGUUGAUGUGAAUUGUGGCAAACAUGUUGUAUGGAACGAAGUGUUGGUCAGUUAAGAAUUCUUACAUUCAAAAGUUAAUGGUGGUGGAGAUGAGGAUGUUGCGAUGGAUGUGUGGACUUAUCAGGAGUGAUAAGGUUAGAAAUGAGAUUAUUCGGAAAGAAGGUGACAUUCGGUUCGAUAGAGGCAAGAUGAGAAAAGUGAAGUUGCAAUGGUUCAUGCAUGUGAUGAGGAGAGGCACAGAUGCUCCAGUCCAAGGGUGUGAGAGACUGACUAUGGAUGAUUUCAGGCAGGGCAGAGGUAGACCGAAGAAAUAUUGAAGGGAGAUGAUCAUUAGACAUGAUAUGGAACAGUUACAUCUUACGGAUGACAUGACCUUGAUAGGAAAGUGUGGAGGACGCGAAUAGGGGUAGAGGUUUAAUGGGUAAGAGUUUGUCAGUAACAGUAAGUAAGAGUACUUUUGUUUGUAUCUACAUUUGUAGUUGCUUGUUCGUGGUGUUUUGGUGAUGUCUUCAAUUUUGAAUAGAUAAUUUAUAGUACUACCUUGUGGGUGCCUUGUUUUCAUUAUUAUCUACUAGUAGGGUGUUAUCUCAUUUUUGUUGUGUGUUUUUAUGUUUUCUAUUUUUUUUAGUUUGUUUGUUAUUUGUCCUGAGCCGAGAAUCUAUCGGAAACAACCUCUCUAUAUAUUUUAUUUGAGGUAAUAGUAUAAACUGCAUACUCUUUAUUCUUUUUAAAUUCCGGUUUGUGAGAAUAUAGCAGGUAUGUUUGUUGUUGUUGAUGACUCGAUGUGAAUUGUGAUACACAGUGAGUGCAAAUAAUGUCUUUAGCUUAUAAUAAUGGUGAUGAUCAAAGCAUAGGCAAGUGACAGUGGCUGUAGAAUUUGUGGUUAAAUUGAGUUCAUACUUUAUUGGAAGCAUCGUGUGGGCAGCUCACCAGAAUAUAUUAUCCUUCCAGAUGGCAUGCUUCUCAACUCAACAGAUCUGUUCUCUAUUUCUUCUAAAAAUCCAUUGAAAAAUUAUGUCCAAGAGUUAAAAGUAAUUUCCAUUUUUUCUUCUCUCUUUUUUCUAUUGGCUUACGUUGUUUUCUAUACUAGUAAAAGAUGGUAGUUCAAGAACCUAACUAAACUUGAGGGUGCCAAAGGGAGAAUGAAAUGGAGACACAUUUUGCCACUUGACUUAUGUUUAGGGCACGAAGUACAGAUUCAAUUGUUACUAUAUAUAUUUAAAAUUUAAUUAUUAUCAUUUGAAUUCAUCAUUCUGAAAUUUAAAAGUUACAUAGUUAAAAUCCAUACUUAAAUGAUAAUUUUUUCUCAAUUUAUUUAUCUUAUUUUUCUUAUUCGUGUGUUUCGAAAAAUAUGUCUUUUUUCCUUUUUGGCAAUUCCUUAAUUCUAAGUAAACAUUUGAUAGUAAGAAUUUUUUACUUUUUUCUAAAAAAUUAUUUUAUUUUAGUGAAAAAAAUUAAAAUAGUAGUGUUUGAUCAUAAUAAUUAUUUUUGAAAAAGUAAAUUUUCACUUCUAUUUCUCUCACAAAAUUUUAAAACACAACUUCAAUUUAUAUCCAUGGUCAAACACAACACCAGCUCCAGCUCCAACUCCAACUUUAAAAAAUUGUUACUUUCAUGACUAAACGAGAGGCCUAAUUUUUCAUUCGAUAUAUUUAAGUUUAUAAACUUAAUAAAUAUUUUGUCACAUUUCACAUAUCUUAAUUUCAAAUCAUUUUUAAAAAAAAAAAAAAUACUUUUUAAAUAAUAUAUCAAGUCAUUAUCGAAUACACAAAUUAAAAUUGAAGCAGCAGUAUGCACCAAUAAAAAUAGUGAGGGCAGGAAAUGCAGGUUAUAAUUAUGAUGUAUCGAGUGUGAAAGUAUGCCAUUUGCCUGCCAUUAUACCAGCAAUACAUUACCACAUCCUCCUAUUAAAAUAGACUUCAUCUUCUAACGCCUAAAUAAACUUCAUGUUCAUUUGUGCAAUAGCUCCUUUAUAACGAUUCAACUGAACUCUCUCACUAUUUUUCUAAAAAAAAAAAUUAAUAGGUAUUUAGUGAAUCUUUUAACACAUACAAAUGAUCUAAGCUAGAGGCGAGGCUAGAGGGAUGGAAGGGGGUUCGUUUGAAUCUCUUUGGAAACAAAAAACACACAUUUUAUAUAUUAGAAUAAUUAACUUUUAUUUGUUACGUAAGUUAAGUUCUUGAUAAAAAAUUUCUUUCACCGCUAACACGCAAAUUACAUGUAGAUAUACCUCUGGCUUUUACCUUGUAAUGGCGCAGUAAUUUUGACUGAUACUCGACUUUGCUAAUAUGAAACUAUGACAUCAGUGUCCAUGCCUUAAAGACAAUUUCAUAAUUUUAUUUUUCAGUUACUGAAUUUUUAUCACCUAAACUCCUCAAUAAUUUAAAAAAGCUAGUUGACUGAUCAACUGGGAAUUCAACUUCAAGAACUGCAGAGUAGUGCAGACAAUUUGUUAAUGGUCUAAGACGUGUAAUUAAGUACUACUACUUAAUUGGAAAUAAUUGAUUGGUGAACCGUUAAGUAUAGUAACUACUUGUCGACUUUUAAUUUUUGUUUCAUAUAACCACCGUUUCAUGUUCUAUGGUUGUUGAUAAUAUAAUGCCCACAUUCAAAUAAAAACAAGCAUACCUACUAUACUUUGAACUAAUCUCACUUAUGGUUUCAACCGUAUAUUGAUAUGAAUGAACUAACACACGUUUGUAAGACAAGUGCAAAUGGUCCAAGUCAAAUCAUCAUAUAUAUGUAUCAAGGAUUAGUUAGUGCUAAUUAUAUUUGAUAUUUAACUGCUUUUUUAACCCAACCAACAACCACAACAAACAUAGUAACUAUAGUUCGACCAAGGCUUUACCCCUACUUCGUGAAGAUAGAGAGGUUGUUUUUAAAGGAUCUUCGGCUCAUGAGCAACAAAUCACAGCAAUUAAUGAAUAAGGGAAUAAGAUGGUAAAAUGACGUUUUUUAACGAAUCCUAAAAGAAAAAAAUGAAUUAAACAGGAUUUAACUAUAAAGUUUCGGACUAAUGAGACUUCGAUCAAGUAAUUGAGCACCUUCAACAUCAACCGGGAGGCUUGAGAAUUUGAGUCAUGCCAAAGAGUAAGUGAAAACAAAUUUUGACCCUCUUAUUGGUGGGGUGGGAAAAAAUAGAAAAACAAAAAGUUUGGCAACCCAAUUGGCAAUCAUAUCAACGAAGGACUAGGUGGCCUUACAAAUCAAGUUGAUUUUUUUAAGGAUAGUUCCUUUUCCAGAUUACGAUUAAUCUUUCAUCUUUGCAUAGUGAUCAUUUAAAGGAAAACAGCAAAAAAAUAAGUUUAUUAGACAAAUUAUACUCGUUAACAUAGAGUAUUACGUAAAUAAAAAGAAUUGAGAAACUUAAAAAGGAAAUGAAUGGGGAUAUUAGAAGUAAGAAGCUUAAAAUAAAGGAAAAAUUAUCUAAAAGAACAACUUAUGUUUCAAAACUACUAAAAAUUCCUUCACUUUUAAAAUAUUACAUAUAUCCCAACAUUUACUACUUUUACUAAAAGUUGAGAUACAAGUUUAAGAUCUCAUAUUCAUACGCUUUAUUUUACCAAAACAAGACCCCUUUUUCUUUCUCAUUGUACGUCAUAAUUUCAGCUACAGUUUCAAUCCAUUCUUUCCCUCUAAUUCAAACUUUUGAAUUAAAGUAAAAUUUCAUAUUCACUGUCUUCUUGUCAAAAAGGAGAUAAAAAGACCUAGCUCUCUUACUCUCUCUUCUCCCAGGCGAUCUCAAUGGAAGUUUAGCCCUCAAUGACUGCGGCUGCUUUACCCCAAAUGAUCUAGAUACACAAACUUAUGCGACACUAUUCAAAUCAACUCCUUGCACAUUUGGGAAGGAAUUUCAAUUGUAAUCUGUUGAUAUAAUCAAUAGUGAACCUAUUAUUCUAUUUGAACCAUCUGAUAUUAUAUUCAAGGUUAUGUUAAAGAGGAAAAUUUUCAAUAUGCUCUUGCUGCAAAGUUUUCCUGUGGGAGGCCAUCGGCAAUAACCCUAAGGGGUAAGACGAUAACCCUUGAAGUUGAAUUCAGCGAUACCAUCAACAACAUCAAGGCCAAGAUUUAAGACGACGAAGGUAUUCCACCGGACCAUCAGCGACUGAUCGUUGCUUGUACAAAAAAGAUUCUUUAUAAAAAAUAACCCACUUUUUCCUCUUUGUACGCCACAAUUUGUGGAGCGGUUUCUAUCCAACUUCUUCAUUCAAUUCAAAACUUGUAGCAAGGUAAUUUUCCUCCCUAAAAUCCGAUUCAAUUUCUUCUAAUUAUUUUUACGUUUUUUUUUUCAAAAAAAAUAUUUUGCACUUAAGUUUACAAAGUAAAAUUUUGGUGAUUUGGUUGAGCAAUUUCUUCGAUUAAUUGUUUUUUAGGCUUCAUUGUUUGAAUUGCCAUCAUGAAUAGAGAUUUGGGACCUUCCUUUAAUAUUCGGAUUUCUCAAUUAGAAAGUAUCAAAGAAUCUCAUGAAGUUGUUAACUUCGUUUCCACAAGUUUUGAUUAUGAAUUUGUUGACUUUGAUGAAAAUAGAUUAAAGCAUAGAAACGAUCCCCAAAUUAUGAAGAAAUUGUGGAAAAAGCAUUCUAAGGACAAGAAAAAAGAAAGUGGUUCUAACAAAAAGGGAUCCAACAGUCCUGAAAAUAAAGCUCCUGCCAAGAGAAAAAGAAUUGUCGAAGCAAUUUCCAGAGAUGAACUUCCCAAGGUAAUUGCAUGUUCAAAUCUAUGAAUUUUAGGCCAAGAUACAUAUUUUGGGUUGCAUGAUACGUUUAGAAUUUCAUUGUGUAUUUGUUUUUUUGUUGCUAAGUUAUUUGUAUCUUGUGUAUUUUAUUUUUUAUUGAAAUUAACAUAACAAAAUACAAGUUCAUAGGUACAUAGAUACAUGUUAAGUGGACUUAUAUAUGUGAGUGAUCAUUAAUGCUUUGAUUUGUAUCUAGUUUUGUUCAAUUUUACUUAAAGUCUAAAUAUAUUAGAUACAUGUUUUUAUUUCUAAGAUACAUGUUAUAUUAACUUGUAUUUGUGAGUUACUGUUAAUGUUUUGAUAUGUUUCUUGUGUUGUCUAAAUGGUAUUGAAAGUAGAAUUACACAAGAUACUUUUUUUCACGUUGAGAUACAUGUUGUAGAUAUUAAGCAUACAUUUGUAUAAUCUUGUAUCUAAUGUUUUAUGUUCUUAGUGCUUUUAUAUAUAUUGUAUUGUCUUAGAGUAAACUUGUUGCCUCUCAAAUAAUUUUUUUAUUUAUUUUUUUAUUUUUAGGGAUUGAAUUACGUUACAAGUAUGUUAUAACAAGUUAAAUGCAUUGAUAAUGUAAAAAUAUUUUUACAUUAUUUGUUUAUAAAAGUUAAUUUAAUAUUAAAUCCUUAGAUGGGGAGCUCUUGUGCAUCCUAAAUUCUGCACAUGAUCAGACAAUAGCUAGACUAGCCCCCGUUUUGUAUUAGAUACAUAAUAACAAAACAUGUGUCUUUCUGUAUUAAUAUGUAUCUCGUUCAUUAUCUGAAGCAAUUGUUUAUUACCUGCAUUAAUCACAUUAGAUACAUAAAAUAUUUAAUUUGUACCUCUUUCAGUUUUAAUGAUUACGGUAGGCUGAUGUAACAUAUAUUUCAUUUGUUUGCAAUUUGAAUAGCAUCUGGAUGUCAUCAUGUACUACUUGAGGAAGAAGUACAAGAACAAGAAUUUUUCAAGCAAGAGAUACACUAUCACAGAUUGCUUUUUCAAGGUGUACAUCGAUAAGGCAUAUGUGAAUUACGAUGAUGCUGACGCUGGCAACGAGCUUGCCACACAAGAUGCAUCUACAAAGACUGAUGAGGUUGCUGAUAUGGAGAUGACAUUGAUUAACACCAUCAAGGGAUUCAGUCCGCGCGCAGGUCAGCCUUGGCAUUUGGUUAAUGAGGUCUUUGUCUCAAUUAACUGUGAUGGUGCCUUUCACUGGAUAUUGGCACGCAUUGCAUUAAAGGAUCGAUGCAUUGGUGUGUACGAUUCAAUGGUCUCUUCACAAAAACAUUGUUGAUGAUAUAAACUUUGAUGAUGUUAGUGAUGUUUAGACAAGUAUACAUUAAGUUUUUUUAAUGAAUAAUUACUUCUAUUUGCAUUAACAUUCUAACGCAAUGCUAAAUAACAUAAAGAUAUAUUUAUGUUAUCGUUAUGAUAUUUUUUUCACGCAAUAAAUAGACAUUGUAUUGACUACAUGUUUUACUAUAUUUUAUAAUUUUAUGUAUCUAAAAUAAAGAAAGAUAUAUUCCAAUAUAGGUAUUAACCAUCACAACAUUGUCGUAUUAUCUAUAAUAAUUUUUUGUUAUAGAUAAUUCAUGUUGUCUCUUACAUACAUACCAUAUUAUAUCAUAACUUAAUAGAACUAAGUCUUAAAAAUAUUAACCUAUUACAUUUUACAUGUGAGACAAAUUAUUAGAUCUUGUAUCUAUUACUUUAUAUGAGAUACAUCUUCUCAAAUUGUAUGUAUCUAUUAUAAGAAAAUUAUUUUACUAUAUAAUCAUAGUAACCAACAAAUUAUUACAUUUCUAUGUAUCUACAACCCUUUUUAUCAAUCGAAAAAGAUGUUUGACUAUAACCUGCAUAACAAAUUCUAGCAGAACUUAUAUUACUAAAUCUUAAUAAUAUUGACAAAUUAUAUUUUACAAACGAUGCAUGUUUGUUAAAAUUUAAUGGAGAUACAUACUAUAAAAAUGUGUCUAUUUUCUAUCGUUCACUAUGGCAGAACUACUAAUAGAAUGUAUAAUAACAUUGUCAGUUCAAUAUAUCUAAAUUUCUACUUUAUGUGUUACCGAAAAAUACACCAUCAAAAUAUAUAUAUAACUAAAUAACAAAUUAACAAAGAAUGCUAUUUAUUUCGAUAAAUGUAUUUUUCUAAAUUUCAUAAAAAAACAAAAAUCUCAUUAACUAAAAUGUCGAACAAAAUAGAUAAAAAAAUCCAGCAACAUUCCGAGGAACUAUUCAACAUUAUUCAUUAGUAAACUACAUUUGUCACUCCUUCUUUGGAAAGAAUUUGCAAGUGAGCCUGUUGUGACCUUUAUAACCACAUCUCUCGCAACAAUUACUGUUCGAUGUCAUUGUUUCACUUGAUUUCUUGUGCAUGUUUUUCUUUGGCCUUCUAGGUUGUCGUUUGUAUUUAGGUGGUAAUACAACUUACCAGGAUAAUGCUUUAAAUGUCCAAACAUAAUCCUCUAAACAGCAUCGUAAGAUAUAACUGAAUCAAUGAAAAUAAAACGUCAACUUUAUAACCUUCAGUUACUUUUAAACUGUAUAAUAAGACAUCAAUAUAUUCACCAAAAUUCAUAAUUAGACAUCAAUAUAUUAACCUAGAUAAAAGAUGAUCAAAACGUAUCUUUUAUAUAAAGAUGUAUAUCGACCAAAUUAACAUAACGUCAUGACUAAAACACAAGAAAUAUAAUUAAACAUAACUUCAUAAACGGAGAUACAAGACGGAGCAAAAUGUAUCAUUUUCAUAACAAAAUGUAUCUCGGCGUGAAACUUGUACAACAUGUAUCUAGGACAUUUCUAUUAUAUCUUUGACCUUCCAGGUUGACGUUUGUAUUUAGGUGGUAACGCAACUUACCGAGAUGAUGCUUUAAAUAUCCAAACAUAAUUCUCUGAACGGCAUCUUAAGACAUAACUGAAUCAAUGAAAACAAAAAUUCAACUUUAUAACCUUCAGUUACUUUCAAACUGUAUAAUAAGACAUCAAUAUAUUCACUGAGAUACAUAAUUAGACAUCAAUAUAUUAACCUAGAUACAAGAUGAUCAAAACGUAUCUUUUAUCAUAAAAAUGUAUAUCGACCAAAUUAACAUAACGUCAUGACUAAAACACAACAAGAAACAUAAUUAACCAAAACUUCAUAAACUAAGAUACAAGAUUAGCAAAAUGUAUCAUUUUCAUAACAAAAUGUAUCUAAGCGUUAAUAACAUAAAAACACAAAAACAAUCUGUAAAAUAAUCAUCAACCAAACAUUUAAUACAAAUUUAAAUUAAUGUACAACAAAUUAACAACACGCUACAAAAAAAAAAUAAUUAACAUAACUUUUCUUGACCAAUCUUUUGGCAUAAUAAUUGAAAGAAUUCUCAAUUGCAAAUCGCGUCAUAAUCGAAAUGAGAGUACUCUUGUCUAUUUUUUUCCUUGUUUCGUCAAUUUCAAGUCUCCCGCAAUUAUAGAAAUCAGUUUUUCGUAAGUAACAUGUUCACUGACCAGAAUUUCAUCACUCUUAUAACCAACAUACUUGAUUUCGUCAACCCAAACACCAAAAUGAUGUAAAAGCACCGAAAUAUUCAUAUCAAACAACCGAAAAUAACAAAUGAAAAGUUUAUGAAGAUUUAUCAAUUUCAAAAAUAUAUUAAAAGAGAGUUUAUGUUUUAACAAAGUGGAGUAAUAAACGGAUUCCCAUUAAUUGUGGGAUUUGAUUUUGUUUUUUUACCUUAAUUAGUUAGCUUUAAUGUUGAUUUGAUGGAAAGUUAUCUGUUGCAUUCCUUAAAAAGUGUUGACUUAGUUAAUUAAUAUAUGUAUCAGCAGUAUGUAUCUAAUGUGAUUAACUUGUAUCAUCAGAGGUCAAAUUUUGGGAUUUUAGGAGAUUUUGAAAAAAGUUGGAUUUUUAGUAAUUAGUAGUAAACAUGUCGUUAUAUAUGUAAUUUUUACUAAAAUAAAAGCUUUAUGGCAUUCGUUUGAAGUUAGGAAAAAUUAAGUUUGCAAACUAAGUUUUUAAUUUUACUUUUUGCCAAAAAUGUUUGCUUGACAUGUUUUCGUUUGAUCGACGUUUAAUUUUAGAGUUAUUGAAAUUACGAUAACAGAACUGAUAUAAUUCAUUUGCCUAUAAACAAAUAAUUAAGAUAGAUAUUGGAAAACAUGAAAUUUCAUAACAAUUAGUUGAUCAAGACGGACGUAUAUGCAAGUAUGAUUGAUAAUGACAGGAUAUAAGAUAAUAAUCAAAGUUGUGAUGAAAUAAUAAAUAUUCUUACAAGUGAUUUGAGAGUGUAUCCAAAUGUGAGACUUUCAGAUGCAACUUUAAAUUUAAGCGAAUUUCAAUACAGUUAUCGACACCAACUAAGAAGAAUUAUAAAAUAAAAUAAAAUAAAAACAUAGAACUUUAUCUGAUUUUGGGGUCCAUUAGUGGAGUCUCAAUCUGAUGUGUACAUUUUUUUUUAACGUUAUUUUUUAUGUCAUCCUCCCUAAAUGACAAGGGGAAAUUGAAAGGGCGAGGGAGAAACUUUAUGGAUAAGAAUUCCUUAUCAAGCUUAUUGAGACCAUGAAUUUAUCUAAGAAAUAAAAAACUUUGCACUUAAUAGUUUCUAUGGGACAUCAUAUAUGCUGGCAUGGCAUGUUAUAUAUAUCUUUUUUAAGUAUACAUCAAAGUGAGCACCUACUUAUAUGCAAACAUAUCUUCUAAAAUAACAUAGAAUGUGUGCUACUACGGGAAUUAAGAUCCUCCUUGAUAAUUAUUAAAUCAACUAUCUCAUACUUAUCCCAAUCCUUGCUGAAAUCAGAACAGGACUAUAAGCGAGAAUAAAUAAGAAUAUUAUCAGGUGUUCAAGAGAGUUGUUGCUAAAUGUUUGGACUUCCAUCAUUUUAUUACUUCAUCCAUUUCUAAAGUUUAUUACAUGUUGAAAUUCAAGUAAAUGAUUUGAACUUCAAUUAUAUAUAAUAGAUUCGAAGUUCGACUAAAUUAUUGAAGUGGGUAAAAAUUUUAAAAUUUAAAUUCUAUCAAUAAUGUCUGAACUUCAAAUAUAUAAAACUUCAGGUACAUUAGUUGAAAUUAAACUUUAUAUUUUUGAUAUCGUUUGUUUGAAGUUAUUUCCAAGUAGAUAGACAUUUGAAAAUAUAUAUAUAUAUAUAUAUAAAAGUUAAAUGACGACGUGAAAAUCGUGUGUAUACUUUGCUCAAAGAUACCGCUUGGGCUAAAACAUGUCAACGCAUUGAAUCUGAGAUUAUUCGGCCUACCCCUCAGCUAGUGACCACAUGAAAGAAAUGACCCGAGUUAGUCAUGAUAUAUUGUCUCUUACAAAAAAAAAAAAAAUGAUCUUCAAAAGAAAUAAUUUUGAUUUUUUGGCCUUGUUUUUUAAUUUUUUCUCAUAAGACAGACGUUCAUGACAUUUCAAAUCAAUAAACUAGCACAAAACAUAUAGACAAAGGUUAAAGCUCAGGUAUGUUGCCCACACGGUAGAUGUUCAUGACAUUUCAAUACAGUAGAAUUAUUCAAUUAACCACAAGUUCUGUGUUAUAGACAAACAUAAGAACUUAUUUAGGACAUAUAGAAAUUUAAGACCACAUACUUUGGGCGACAAAAAUUUAAAAUCGUAUAUUUAGGAGUCAAAAAUUCAAGAUCACACACUUUGAGAACACUAGAUAUAAUUUCCUGCAUGAAGUUGGUUGCCCUAGUCAGUGAGGUUGAAUAUUUGCAAAUUAGCUUUAAACAAUGUAUAUAAAUAAGGAAAAAUUGUGUGGUGUGGAUAAAAAACUUCAAAAUUAUCUGUCAUGAUCAAUAUUUAAAUAAUUACGGUACAUGGCUGCGAUUUUUUAGUUAUUUUUAAUACUAGUCCUUAUUUUAAGUUAUUUUUCCUCACCUGAUUGACUUACUUUUUUCUCUAAUCUCUCUCGCCUAAUUAAAAGCAAAGAUUUCUCUCUCUCCUAAAAAUAGCAUUGUUACUUUUUCUUUAGGUAUUGUUGUAUUUUCUAACUUCUUCUUCAUCAAUUUUGUCUUUAAUUUUGGUACAAUUUCUCCAUUCUUGCAGUGUUGAUUAGGGUUUUAAGUAAUUGUUAUAACUAAAUCAAAUGAAUGAGAACACUUAAUUUAAGGGCAUUUUUUCAUUUAUGUCUUUAUAUCUGCAUAUGAAUGUAUUGGGUGUGUGUUUUUUUAUGUAUAUAUGAAUAUUUUUGUAUACCUAUGUAUAUACAAGUUUGUUCUGUUUUGAUACACAUAUACAUAUUUAUAUACAUUAGUUAUGUGUUGGUUCGUGUAUACAUUAUGAUUGUUAACCGGGCCGGUUCGGUUCAGAGCGGCACCGACCCACAAAAAUUAAUCAGUUUUGGACCAGGUCCGGUAACGAAUUAGUAUUAACGGACCGGUCCGGGCUCAAACAGUAAAUUUUGCUCAAAUGGACCAGAAUCGGUCCACUUAAGAAUUAUCCGGUUUUGAUCGGUCAAAACCGGUCAAUUUUUAAAAAAAUAAAUAAAUUCAUAUUUUCAUAUAUUUUUCAAUAUAUACACACCUAUAUAUAUUUUAAAAACGUUAAACAAUAUAUGUACAACAUAUAAACACUAAAUAUACUACUUUAGAAAACAUAUACACACUUAUAUUUUAAAUAGAUAGUAGUUUAGAUUCUAUAGGAAAUAUAUGCACAUAUAUACGUACAAUACAAUAUAUACUACUUUAAACAAUAUACAUACAACAUAUAUACACUAAAUAUAUAUUACUUUAUAAAACAUAUACACAUGUAUACUUUAAAUAGAAACUAGUUUAGAUUCUCUAGGAAAUAUAUGCACAUAUAUACGUACAAUACAAUAUAUAUACUACUUUAAAUAAUAUACAUACAACAUAUAUACACUAAAUAUACUGCUUUAAAAAAUAUAUACACAUGUAUACUUUAAAUAGAUACUAGUUUAGAUUCUAUAGGAAAUAUAUGCACAUAUAUACGUACAAUACAAUAUAUAUACUACUUUAAAUAAUAUACAUACAACAUAUAUACACUAAAUAUAUACUACUUUAGAAAACAUAUACACAUGUAUACUUUAAAUAGGUACUAGUUUAGAUUCUAUGGGAAAUAUAUGAAUAUAUAUAAUUACAAUAUAUACAUUACACAUAAUACUAAUUUAGAAACAUAUACACAUGUAUACAUUAAAUAUAUACUAUUUUAGUCUAUAGAUAAUAUAACACAUACAUGUAGAAUAUAUAUUACUUUAAAUACCACUUGAAAUAAUAUACAUACAACAUAUAUACACUAUAUAUAUACUACUUUAGAAUUUAUAGAAAAUAUAUACACAUAUAUGUAGAAUAUAUACUACUUUAAAUACCACUUGAAAGUUGAAACAUGUAUACAUUGCAUAUUAUAGUACUUUAGAAAACACAUAUAUACAUACAAGAUUACAAUGUAUGCUACUUAAUAUAAUAAUAAUUGAAGUUUUGAAUAUAUAUUCAUUAUAUAUUUUCAUUAUAUUUGAACUUAAAAGAUAUUUAUUUUUUCAUUAUGUGUAUAUAUGUUUGCUAUGUUUAUUACUUGGUGUAAAGUUUGAUAGUAAUAUAUUAAAAGUAUUUAAUUCAAACUAGAACUUCAAUUUAAAUUAAAAACAUAUACACAUUAACAUAUAUACAUUACAUAUUAUAUUACUUUAGAAACUUAUACACAUUAAAUAUAUAUUGUUUUAAUCUAUAGAAAAUAUACAGACAUAUAUGUAGAAUAUAUACUACUUAAAAUACCACUUGAAACAAUAUACAUACAACAUAUAUAGUUAUAUACACACUAUAUAUAUAUAUUGCUUUAAAUACCACUUGUGUAUAUGUGUGUAUAUAUGUUUGUUAUAUAAACUGCUUUAAAUACCACUUGUGUAUAUGUGUGUGUAUAUAUGUUUGUUAUGUUUAUUACUUAGUGUAAAGUUUGAUAGUAAUAUAUUAAAAGUAUUUAAUUUAAACUGGAAAUUCAAUUUAAAUGAAAAAAUUACAAAGUAAGGAGUGAAUGAAUGUUGUAUUUUAUUGAUUGAAAAAUGAUCCAAAACUUAUAAUUUACAUGAAUGAAAAAUCUACAAAUUUUGCAUCACUUUUUCCAACUCGUUUAUGUUAAUAUUAACGGAAAUUGCCAUAGGAUAGUCAAAAUCAAUGGGGGGGAAUAUCAUGCCUUAGACUUGAUUGUGCUGAGUUCUCCCUUGAAGUCAAAAUUUCUUUAAUAUUCUGGUCGUCUUUCGGCUCCACCUUCAUUCAUUGGUUUCCUCGUUCCACUAUAAUCCAAUCUCUAAGGCAAACUAGAACAUUCAUAGAUUGCUUUUCAAUGAGUGUCAGUUGUCUCCAAGCUGUUGUCGUCUUUGACUAAAAGCGUUCUCCGAUGCAACGAUUGACAUUGGAACAUUCAAUAUAUCUCUAGCUAAUCUUGAAAGCACAGGAUAUUGUCUUUCAUUAUUCUUCCAUCAAUCCAAUGCGUUGAUCAUUGCUUUAUGAUCCUCUAUCGAUUGUCGAACAUAAUACUUAAGCUCUUCCAGAUAAUUUGUGUUGUAUGUCGAAGGAGAAACCCUGUCCCAAAUAUUUAAAUCAUAAAAGUAAUCAGGAAAACCACUAUGUGCCGGCCUUUUAAAAGAUGAUGGCUCCUCAAGAGCUUGAGGAGGGACAGUUGGAGUGAUAUUUGUCGGUACAACUACAUUAAGUAAAUCGGCACAAUGGUUAUAUAAUGCUUUUAUGUAAAUGUUCGCAUCACUUAUAGCCGUAAACAAAUCUGAUUGUUCUUCAGGCUUUAUCUCUAAGAAAUUAUAAAUAAUAGAACUAAAGUGGCACAUAGUAUUAUAUUUCAUAUAUGAAUUUAGUAUAGUACCAACCAAGUAAAUUGAAGGAAGUGGAUAAAAAUACUUUCUAAAUUUAGCAAACAUAGCACCAACAACUUCUUUGUAACCUUCUCUAUUCUUAUAUUUUUUAAGCAAACAAGAAAUGUUGGCUAAAUGAGCUAAAAUAUUACAAACAACAGGAUAAUAAGUACCGAAAAAUUCAACCGUAUCUGUAUAAAAUUUUUCCAAAAAUUUAAAAAGAUCAUCAUCAUUGCAGCCCAAUCAGAAUCAUGUAGCAUACACUCGGGAAAAGAACCACAAAAUUGAUUAAAAGUCAUUGUAAUGGAAACUUUAUAAGCAAGACAAGUUUUUAAAUAAGUAUAAGUAGCAUUCCAUCUAAUAUCACAUUCUUCAGACAUUAAUAUCGGUCUAAGUCCAUUUUGUUGACAUUUAACUUUAAAUUCUCUCACUCUACCUCUUCAAUUAUUUCAUUGAAUAAAGCCAACAGCAAGCCGGACCUUUUCAAUAUAAAACUUACAAAAUUGAAGACCAUCUUUUACAAUUAAAUUAUAUAUAUGACAAGCACUUCCUAAGCAUUUCCUACUGCGGGUGUCUCGCCAAUAUUUUCAUCAUCUUCAUCUAAAUUAACCGCAUGUCCGCAUCUAUUUCAUUUUCUUCUUCUAUACCAUAAUUUUUCUGAGCUUUUGCAUAAUCCAUAUCAUGAGCACCUACACCUAUUUCUUCCUCAAAAGGUUGACUAACAGAUAACGGAGGCACACAGGUAUAUCUAUUACUUGAACUACCUCUAUCGGAAUCGCCACCAAUUCAUUUUUUACGACCACUGCCACUUCCAGAAAAAAAUAUUUUGACACUUUUACCGAGGUUUCUUAUUUUAUCCAAAUUAAAAAAUAAACUAAAAAAUACUCCAAAUACACACAAGACAUAAAAAAAAAAAAUUCAACAAUUAAUACACUAAUUAAAAAUUAAAGGUAAGAGAUGGAACGACAAUACCAAAUUUUGAAAGUAUCCGAAAGUUGAGACUUUACAAAACUUUCACUUGUAUUUGUAAUUGCAAAAUUUAAAAAUAAAAUUGAGCACUUUAAGAGAUAAUUAGAAUAUUUGAGAGAGAAGAUUUGUGUGAAUAAUGAAUUUUGAAUUGGGGGUAUUUAUAGAAAAAAAAUAGCCAAUUGGUCGUUGGGGUGCAAACGGUUAUAAUGUCGUUGGCCCAGCGGUCCAAUUUGGCUUUUGGGGCCCAAACGGCUAAAUGUCAUUUAAGAAAAAAAAAUGUUACCGGGUCGGGUACUCAGUGGGCCUGGUCCGAGUUUGUAUCGGAUCUGGCUUACCGGCAGAGGUGAACCCAGGAUUUGAAGAGUGCGGGUGCAGCUUUAUCAUAACAUAAGCGUUCGAGAAUUUUUCACUGGCGGCUGAGGAAUAGUAUCGUGAAGGCUUAAGCAAUGACAAAAAUAUAAAUAUAUAGGCCAAAUAUGGGUUUUAGGGUAAUAUAUAAACCUUAACUCCUUAUAGAUAGAUUAGUGCAUUUAUAAUUUAAUAUUACCAAACUUUAAUUAAAAAAAAAAAACUAAAAAACGAAAGAAAGAGAUGUAUAACUGUUACCAUCAAAUGGAGAAUUGAAAUUGCUCCUUGUAACCUUCUAAAUUCAAGUUUCCACUUUUCAGGAAGUUUGGCUUUUGGAGAAAUUUGGGAAAUAUCGAAUAGGGCUUGGGGGAAAUACGGAGCUUGGGAAUUAGGAUUGGGGAAUAUCUAUUUUCUAGAUAUAAAUUAAGGGUGGUAUGGGCCAGCUGAGGUGGUUGCCUAGCAAGUGGCAAUUAAAAUGUUGUAAAUGAAAAAAAAGAGGCAUUCAUCAGGAAUCAAACCCGCAACAUUGAGACCCGAAGGAUGCUAGCAUUUGAGUUCCGGACCAAUGCACUCAAACAUAUUUGGUUAUUAAGGGUGCACAAUUAAAUAUAUUAACUCUUUAUUAGGAUAUCUAUACAUAUAUAUACAAUUUUUUAAAAAUAUUACCGGGUGCACGUGCACCCUCGCGUAACCAUGUGGGUCCACCUCUGCUUACCGGGCCAGUCAACGUGGAUGGCCCAGCCUGAGACCGACAACCCUAUAGCCUGUGGGCUCACCGGACCGAGUAAAUGGGCCGGGCUAAACGAGCUGGAACGGGCCACCCUAGCGCGUUUGACAGGUUUAGUAUACAUUAUGCACAUACACAUGUCAUAUGUGUAUGCAUCUUUUAUGUGUUACAAAUUAGAAUGGGCAUCAACGUAUAAAUGAAACUCAAAUUCGUUCACACAUAUAAUCUUCGAAAUUUAGGUUUUAAUGCUCAAUAACAAUGAGGAAUGUUGAAUAGAAUAAAUGAAGUGAAUCACUCUCCUUUUUUUUUUUUUAAUCUCUAAAUGUAACUAAAAUAAUAAUAAAAUGUACUCCCUCCGUCCCAUUUUACUUGUCCCAAAUUGGAAUGGCACAGCUAUUACGAAAAAUAAUAAAUAAUAUCACUAGUUUGCCAUAGUACCCCUAUUAAAUGAUGUUUACAUUUUAAUUUAAAGAAAAAAUAAUUAGUGCAAAGGGUAAAAUAUGGAAAAAAAAAUUAUCUUAUCUUGAUAAGUAAAAAAGGACAAGUAAAUAGGACACCAGAUUAGGAAAUUUAGGACGGGUAAAAUGGGACGGAGGGAGUAUUAAUUAAUAUUUUUAUAUUAGGAUUCUAAAUAAAUUUUGAUCACUAAUUGAAAUAUAUGAAAUGUAAUUAUUAAAAUUUAGAUUAAGAAGUUAGUUAAAAGAAAUCUAAGUUAGCUAUACUUGAAAUUUAAGAAAACCAAAAAAUGAAAAAGAUUUCUUGAAAAAUGACUUAACAGCUGUAAAAUGGGUUGGGCCACAAAUCCAAUGCUUCGUUUAAGUAGGGUUGGGCUAAGAUAUCUUUAGCCCGUUUGAAAGUGAGACUCAAUAGCCUAAACCUCUCUUGGCCCGCUAGUCUCAAAGAUUGGGCCGGGGCCAGCACGUAAGGCAAAUAAUUUUUAUUUUUUUUAAUUAAGAUAUUAAAGGAAAACGGACAAAAAUUAAUGAACUAACUACUACUAUUUGGGAGUAAAUUGAGUAACUUACAUAAAUCCCGGAUAGUUUCACCAAUAUUACAUAAAAUCCCGCAUAAUUUGCUAAUUAUAUCUUAUCCCAAAAUUUUGAAUUGUGAUACAUAUGUUAAGCAGUGAUACAUAUGGACUAGUGAUGCAUAUGUAUAUGUAUCACUAGUAUAUACAUAUGUAUACAAUAGUGAUACAUAUAGCAUCUGUUUCACUAGUAAAUAUGAAUUCAGGAUUUCAUGUAAUUUUUUAAAAUAUUAAGGGAUAUUGUGUAAUAUGGUGUCUUAAAUAUGGGAUUUGUGUAAUUUUUUCUAAAUUAGAAGUAAGGGCUUCCUUUGGUUGAAACCAAGUUAUGAAUUGUUAUUCUGGUGAACCAAACACGCGACUAAAAUAUGCCAAAAGUUAAAAAAAUAAUGAAAAUAUGCCAUUAAAUUGAAUAGUGACAAAAGUAGGUUUGGCGCACAAAAAAAGUGCACCAUCCUUUCUUUUUUUAACUGUUUGACGGAAGUUAAAAUUGAGGGGUGCACUUUUGUUUGUGCACCAUUUAUUUUUUUGUAGUGCACUUUUUUUGUGCACAAUAUGAAAAAAAUAUGUGGUGUAUUUUUUUUUAUGCACCAUUCAUUUUUUAUUAUAUGGUACACUAAUUUUGUGCACUAUAUGAAAAAAAACAUGUGAUGCACAAAAAAGUGCACCAUCCAUUAUGUAAAAAUAUAUAAUGUACUAUUUUUGUGCACCAUUCAUUUAUUUCUAUAUGAUGCACAAUUUUUAUGCACCAUCUAUUUUUUUUUUAAUUAUGUGCACUAUAUGAAGAAUAAUAUAUGGUGCACUAUUUUUGUGCACCAUCCAUUUAUUUUCACAUUAUGCAAAAAAUUAUUGCACUAUAUUUUUUUUUUAUCAUAUAUGAACAUAAUUAGUGCAUUAUAUAUUUUCUUUCAUAUAUUGCAAAAAAUAGUGUACUAUUAAUUAUUUUUGAUAUAGUGGACUUAUUUUGUAUAUUAUCCAUUCUAUUUUAUUUGUUUAUUUAAUAUAUUACAUUAUUUAAAUAAUUUUUUUUAAUAUAUAGUUAUUUAAGUGUACUUUUAUUUUUUCUUUAUUUAUUUUAUAUAACACUAUUUAUUGCACUUUUUUUAUUUAGUACUUAUUAAUUUAUUUCAUAUAGUGCAAUAAUUUUUUUGGUCAUAUAUUGUUCUAAAAUUUGAAUUUGUUUUUUUAAUUUUGUCAUAUGUUGCACUAUUUUAUUGUAAUGUCUAUUAUUUUUCAUGUAGUGCAUCCGAAUAGUUACUAUCUAGCAUUUUGGUGCAUUAUCUACAUUUUUCAUAUAACAUCGUAAAUUUUUAAUUUUGUAUAUACUAAAUUGACAUUUUCUUUUAUUGUAUAUAUUAAAUUUGCACUUUAUUUAUAAAUUUUUUUACACAACGCACUAAAUUUGUGCACUGUUUAAUAUUUUUAUAUAACAGAUAGUGAUCUUAUAUAGGGUUGUGCAAAAAUUGAACCUACCGAUAAGUUGAACCUAUAAAAAUGUUAUUGGUUUAUUAUUAUUGGGUUAAUGAUUUUUUAAUGAUUUUAUAAAAAAAAUUAUUGGGUUAUUGGUUCGAUUCGAUUUUUUCUUAUUGGGUUAUUGGGUAAACCGAUAACCCAAUAAGAACACACACACACACACACACAUAUAUAUAUGACUUAUUAGAUAUUUCUCUUAAUUUCUCUUUAAUCUCUACAAAUUAAGAAACUUAUUUUUUAAAUUACACAAACUCUUAAUUUCUCCUAACAACAUUUAGUUCAAACUUGAAGAUUCUUGUAAAUUAAAACACAUUAUGUAGGUUUUUUGUGUGCACUAAGAUUCGAUUAUUUUUCAUGUUAGUUACUACUAUUUCUAUUUUAUGAGUAUUUUCUUAUCGGUUAAAUCAAAAAUCGAACCGUUAAGGACUAAAAAUUGAUAAACCGAUAAAAAAUAUCUUAUUGGUUUGGUUAUUGGUUUAGCAUAUUUAAAAAUCAAAAAUCGAUAAAUCGAACCGGUAAUAGGUAAAACUGAAUCGAACCGAUUGAUGCACACCCCUAAUCUUAUAGGCUGCAACAGAUAACCUACAACAGAUUAGUGAUCUGUUUUUAUUGUUUCUAACAAAUUACUCAUCCGCUGCAACGAGUUGGUUAUGUGCGGCAACGGAUAACCUACCUGGUGUAACAAAUAAGUGAUCUGUUUUUAUUAUUUUCAAUGGAUUACUCAUUCGCUGCAACAGGUUGGUUAUAUGCUGCAAUAGAUAACCUACCUGGUUCAACAGAUUAGUGAUCUGUUUUUAUUAUUUUCAACGGAUUACACAUCCGCUGCAACAGAUUGGUUAUAUACCGCAACAGAUGUGUGGCCUAUUUAUUGUUUCCAACAAAUUGAUCAUCAGCUGUAACAGGUUGGUCAUAUACUGCAAUAGAUAAUGCACAAAUAUUAUGGACUAUCUGUUAUAUAAAAAUCUUAAAUAGUGCACAAAUUUAGUGCACUGUGUAAAAAAAAUUAUAAACAAAGUGCAAAUUUAAUAUAUACAAUAAAAGAAAAUGUCAAUUUAGUAUAUACAAAAUAAAAAAUUUAUAAUAUUGUAUGAAAAAUGUAGAUAUUGUACCAAAAUACUAGAUAGUGCACUAAAUGAAAAUAAUAGAUACUAAACUAAAACAGUGCAACAUAUGACAAAAUAAAAAAAAUAAAUCAAAUUUUAGAACAAUAUAUGACAAAAAAAAAAAGUGCACUAUAUGAAAUAAAUUAAAUAAUAGAUAUAAACAAAGUGCAAUAAAUAGUGUUAUAUAUAAUAAAUAAAUAAAAAGUACAUUCAAAUCACUAUAUUAAAAAAAGUACAUUUAAAUAAUGCAAUAUAUGAAAUAAAUAAAUAAAAUAGAAUGGAUAAUGCACAAAAUAAGUGCACUAUGUAAAAUAUAAUUAAUAUUGCACUAUUUUUUUGCAAUAUAUGAAAAACAAAAUAGAUAGUGCACUAAUUAUGUUCACAUAUGAAAAAAAAAUAUAUGAUGUAAGAAUUUUCUGCAUAAUAUGAAAAAUAAAUGGAUGGUGAACAAAAAUAGUGCACCAUAUAUAUUUUUUUUUUCAUAUAGUGCACAUAAUUGAAAAAAAUAGAUGGUGCAUAUUUUUUUCAUAUAGAAAUAAAUGAGUGGAGCACAAAAAUAAUACACCAUAUAUUUUUAUCAUAAUGGAUGGUGCACUUUUUUUAGUGCACCAUAUAUAUUUUUUUCAUAUAGUGCACCAUAUAGAAAAAAAAAUGAAUGGUGCACAAAAAAAGUGCACCAUCCAACUUUAACUUCCGUUAGUCAAGCCAAUAAAAAAAGAAAGGAUGGUGCACUUUUCUUGUGCACCAAGCCUACUUUUAUCACUCUUCAAUUUGAUGGCAUGUUUUCGUCACUUUUUUUUAUUUUUGGGCAUAUUUUGGUCGUGUGUUAUAUUCCGAUCUUGAUGCGGGAUAGUAAUAACUACAAUCUCAGAAUAAAUAAUUCGAGGAUAAGUUAUCCCUCAAUUUUAUUUACUGCCAAACAUGAGAUAAACUAAUCAUAGAAUUCAUCCCAUGAUUAGUUAUACUUAUCUCUAAUACUAAACGAGUCCUAAGAGUUUUACUUUUUCAGUCUUAAAUAUAAUACUCUUACAUAUGAUUAAUUUCUUGUGGGUAUGACUUGGAUCAAAAAACAAAUACAAUAGUAAUUUUCAUCAAUACUUUUGAAUUGAUUUGGGUUUUUGUAAUGUGAGUUCUCACAUCUUAACUUCACAUGCAUGGGAUAUCACACUCUCACUUCUCUCAACCUGUCUGCCAUGAAGGUCAUCUUACCUUGCCACAUAUAACAUCGUUCUCAGUCAUAUCUCUUAUAUUAUAUUCAUAUUUGUUUGAGCAUCCUCGUAUCUAUUACGUUCUUCUUCUAAAUGUACACGUUUUGGGAUGAACAACACUUUAUCCCAUACAAAAAAAUUGAUCUAAUCGUCACUAGCUCUGUAGAACUUAUCUUUAAACAUAAUCGACAUGUUCUUGUUGCAUAAUAUCUAAGGGACGAACCUUUAUCUCAUCCACUAGGCUCUAAUGUGAAGUGUGGCUUCAUCGUCGAUCUCUCUGUUCUUGACAUAUUGACUCGAGAUGCUUAAAACUUCCUCAUUGAAAUAUAACUCGUGCAUUAAAAUCCGCUUCCACAUCUGCACCAUUUGUUGUGUUGUUGAACUUGUACUUCAUGUACUUUAUUUUAGUUAUACUUAACUUGGAACAUUUAGUCUUUAAGGUCUUAUAUCCAAAUUCCUAGACUAUUGUUAACUCCUCUACAUGUCUCAUUCAUCCAUAUUAUAUUAUUUGCGAAUAAAAUAUGGGUUAACAACAUAAAUUCCAAUACUUUGCUACCUAAUUACCCUCUCUCUCAAUAUUUAUAUUAAUUACUUAAUAUCCCGGAUAUGAUACAUAAGUUUGGUCCGAAUACAUAAUCUACAGAUACAUAACUACCAAACUAAUUGACUAUAAAAAAGAAAAAUAACAACAAAGAUUAAAUAAUGGAGCAAUUAAUGUGAUUCUAAUUGUGUAAGUAUAUCUCUUUAAUUCUUCCAUCACAAGUCUUUUAUCUUUCCCUUUAUACAGCAAAGUUUCCUCCUUUAAUCAUUCAAUAGUUGUAACAAUAAUUAAAAAAAAAAAUUAAAUUCCUAAAAUAAUUCAGAGAAUUGAAAAAACAGAAGAAAAAAACUGACCAUCCUUUAGGAGAACCAUACAAAAGGGCAGUUCACGUUUAAAAGCUUUGAUUUUUCUGAGUUCUUCUAAAGCAACAAUAAAUUGAUUGAGCUUUGUUAAUUUGUUGGAGAUGUCAUCCAUGGCAGAAACUUCAGUUAAAACAUCUGAAAUUAUUUUUGAACAUAAAUAAAGUUCAAAUAAAGCUGAAUGUAUCGGAUGAAAAAAAUAAUAUAAAUCAACUUCGACAUUUACUAUGUAUCAGAAGUAAUGAUAUAUCUCAUACUUAUGUAUCAUACUCAUAAUGUUUAAUGUAUCAGGUGUAAAACAAACUAAAACUCACAUACAAUUUUCAGAAUGUAUCAUAUAAAUCUAAAAUCUCGACAAAAUUAUCUCUAUGUAUCAUAAUAAGUAUAUUACAUGUAUCAAGAAUAAAAUUGAACCAUAAUCACGUAUAUAUUGUAUUAUGUAUCAUAACGCAUUAGCCUUGAAUCUAUGUAUCAGAUGUGGUAUAUUAAAUGUAUCAGAUGUAGUAUAUUGAAUGUAUCAUAUCUAUAAAGAGACAAAAAUCACAUGUAAAAAUUUAUGAUGUAUCAGAACGCGUGCAUUGUCAUAAAAAAUAAUUUUUUGUAACUUGCUUCUUCCUCUUUACAGAUGCAAUAAUCGAUAACUUCUUUGUCAUAACCAGGUUAUUUUGAUAUUUCAAUCGAUUUUCACUUAAAUUAAUGUCUUUCAUAUCAUAAUGAAAUGGUGGGAAUUAAAAAAGAAAGUUAAUGGUUGAUAUAUUUGCAUCAUCGAAUAUUUGGAUCGAUUAUUGCUAUCUUGCGCGUUGCACUGAUGGACUUAUUGAUGUUAUUCAUGGACUACUGGUAUUUCCAUUUCCAACAAUUACUUCACUCAACAUGAUAAUGAAAUUGUGGAAAUUUAAAAAGAAAGUUAAUGGUAAAAAUAUGAAGUUGUUAGAUUUAAUUUAGUAGAUGAGAACAUGAUGGAAAUUCAAAAGAAAGUUAAUGGAAAUUAUAACUUGAAUAUUGAAGUAGAAGAUGAAGAUGAGAACAUGGUGAAAAUUCAAAAUGAGUGAGUUGAGAAAAUUGUGGGAUGUAUUUUCUGAUUUUUAGGCUUGAUUUGUGGCACAAUAAGGGGUUGUGGGUGGGUUUUUUAAAUGUAUCAAAAAAGAGGCAACUAUUUUGAGCAAAAAUGAAUUUUUGUAAUUAGUUUGGUUGGAUAAAAUUUUAAGUAAUAAUAAAAAUUUAAGGUGUGGUUAUAAGGAAUUUAUCCAUCAAAUAUACCAUGACACCUCCCUUUAAUAUGACAUGCCAAUUUGUCCAUCAUCAAGACAUAGGAACUGAUCAAUGUCUGACACUUAGUGCAAUCCCAUCACGUUCAAUAAGGAGUCAUUUGGUAGAGUGUAUAAGAAUAAUGCAAAAUAUGGUGUAUUAGUAAUGCUUGUAUUAGUAAUGGUUGUAUUAGUUAUGCUUGCUUUAGUUAUGUUUGUAUUUUUUUUAUGUAGUGUUUGGUACGAUAUAUUAAAAAAAAACAUGAAUUAAAUUUUUUUUCUUUACAUAAUACCCUCAAUAUAUUUGUUGGAAAGGAUGCAAAAUUUUUUUGAGGGGUAAUAGGGUCUUUAAGCAUGUUAAUGCAUGCAUUAGAUCCAUUACAUUACUAAUGCCAUGGAUUUUGAGGUAUUAGUAAUACACACCUCAAUACACAAUAGAGUGUAUAAUUAAUGCUUGCAUUAGUUAUACAUAGGGUAAAAAGGUAUACCAAACAAGGUACUACUAAUACACAUUAAAAUAAUGCAAAAUAUGGUUUAUUAAUAAUGCUUGUAUUAGUUAUGCUUGCAUUAAUUAUACUUGUAUUUUUCUUAUGCAGUAUUUGGUUCGAUGUAUUAAAAAAAACAUGAAUUACAUAAUUUCUAAAAAAAAAAAACUUUUACAUAAUAUCCUCAAUAUAUAUGUUGGAAAAGAUGCGGAAAUUUUUUUAAGGAGUAAUAGGGUCUUUAAGUAUGUUAAUGUAUGCAUUAGAUUCAUUGCAUUACUAAUGCCAUGAAUUUUGAGGUGUUAAUACACACCUCAAUACACAAUGGAGUGUAUAACUAAUGCUUGCAUUAGUUAUAGAUAGGGUAAAAAAGUAUACCAAAUAAGGUACUACUAAUACACAUUAAGCUAAUGAAUGCAUUAACAUUUUAAUUGUAUGUUAUGAGUGUUAUGAGUCAUGUUCACUAUCUUACCCCGAGUCUUGUCUUCAUUGUACGUGUACUUAAUUGCUCUAUUGUAAGUAAUGAGCACACCUCUGAACUUCGAAUAUUUCUGAAUGACCUCCCUAAGGAUUUUGUAGUAAGCUCCUUCUAAGUUAAUGAACACCAUAAGUAAGUCUCUCUUAUUGUCCCUAUACUGUUCCAACGAUCUCCUUGUAAAAAUGUGCAUUCAAUAGUUGAUCGUUGUGACAUUAAUCUGAAUUGGUAUUCAAAGAUCGGCACAAGCCUCCUUAUACCUCCUCUCAACUAUUCUUUUCGAAAUGUUCACGGUAAAACUUACUAUUUUGAUACUCCCAUUGUUGUUACAAUUCUUGUGGUUCACGCAAAAAUUGUUUAUGAUAUCAAAUAUCGGUCACAUAACCACUUAUAAUUGGCAAAGGACAUAUGCUAAUGAAUUUUAAGUGAUUUUAUGACUGGUAUUUGAAAAAAUCUCAAUUAAUUGUCAGAAAAUUUAUACAAUGCAACUAACUUUAUUGAAUAAUGUGAAGUAAGCUGAAGGUUUUGUAAUGUAUCAAAAUCAGCACAAUAGGCUUUUUCUUUCAGAAAUUUUCCAAUUCAAACAAAAUGCAGAUUAUUUCAAGAAGGCAAUUUUGAAAAAUAUUUCCAGUUCCUUUAAAUUAUACUCCUAUAAACCGCCGGAGUUGAAAUAGUAAAAAACACAAUUAAGCGGACAAGUUCCUUUUCAGUUUUCCCGCCCACAAAGAAAACUAAAAUUCAAGUGCGCUUCACACGGAUCGCCGAACUUUAAAAAUCGUCGAUCCGCGAAAACCAUAGUCAGCGAAUCACAGAUAACCACGUGGAUUCUAACUAUUUGCAAUAGCCAAUAUUGAUCGUCCAUUCUCCAAUUUCAUCGACGGCUCACAAUCACGGUCCUCCUAAGCUGAAACUAACCAAUCAAAUAACAGAUCCAAAAUCCUAUAUAAAUCUCAUUCUCCAUUCAACUUCCUGGUCACUCUCUCUCAUUCACUUUACCAAAGCAAAAACAAAAAAUUUCUAUUUACCUCUCUUUGUUAGUUCUGAGCAAUGGCACCAAAAGCAACAGGGAAAAAGCCAGCUGAGAAGAAGCCAGUAGAGGAGAAGAAGGCCGAGGGAGGUCCUGCUGAGAAGAAGCCCAAGGCCGGGGAGAAGCUCCCGAAGGAGGCCANNNNNNNNNNNNNNNNNNNNNNNNNNNNNNNNNNNNNNNNNNNACAAGAUCUACAUCUUCAAGGUGCUGAAGCAGGUGCAUCCAGAUAUCGGCAUUUCCAGCAAAUCAAUGGGUAUAAUGAACAGUUUCAUUAAUGAUAUAUUUGAGAAGCUUGCUCAGGAAUCAUCUAGAUUGGCUAGGAUCAACAAGAAGCCUACUAUCACUUCCAGGGAAAUUCAGACUGCUGUGAGACUUGUGUUGCCUGGUGAAUUGGCUAAGCACGCUGUUUCUGAAGGGACCAAGGCUGUUACCAAGUUCACUAGCUCUUAGGCUUUAAUUUGGGGAUCUUUUGGGGGUGUUUUGGGUUUAUGUAAAGGCUGGUAGUUAUUUUUGAUGUCUGGUAUGUAAUCACUUCAAAUGAUUCUGUGUUUGAUCUUGUUUUAGUUUUGUUAUAUUCUUGUGAAGCUAUUUUGGUGUUAUAUGUUUCUUCAGUUGGAAUGUGUAAGCAGAACAUGCGUGUAGUUUAUUGAUUUCAGCAAGAUCACCUCUUCAGUGGUAAUUUCAGAGAAAUGUCAAAAUUUACCAAAAGUGUCUCACCAUAAUGCCUUUAACAUUUCCAAAUAAUAUGCCUUAAUUUUUCUAUUAUUGAUUGUGUAAUUAGAAUUUGAUAUUGUAAAUGUUUAUGUGGACAGUAAUUAAUUUAUGGAGGAUUCAAAUUGGUGAUAUAUACUCGAUAGAGAGCAUACCAACGAUAUUAAGUUGCCCUAUAAUUUUUUUGUAGAUUACAGAUCAUUUAUUUCUACUUUGAAGUGCAAAUCAUGUUUGAAUGAUGGUUCUUUCCUCGUUAUUCAACUAGUCUUCUUUGUUUUCCUCAUUUAUGCUUUCAGAAUGCUUUAACUUAAUGACAAGUGUUUGAGUAUGUUGAAUGUUGAUUGUGUAUCAAUCUUUAAAUUUUUUUUUUAACCUUAAUCAGCCAACUACUUUGAAAAGUGAUUGAAGUUUGCAAAUAAUGACUUACUCCCUUCACCACAUGUGAAUAUAGCAGACCAAAAUGAGGCACUUGGGCCUGGGCCUGGGAAUGUUUAUCUGGGAUCAAUUGAUUAAACAAUCCAACACAAUGUUAUUGUUGGGCCUGUGUUGAGAUACAAGUGUCAAAUAGUUAAUUGUACAAGUGAAAAUAUUGUUGUUUGUUUGAGGAUUAAGGCAGGGUAAUUGUGAUUAUAAUUAAAUAAACAAUACACCACUCAUUCCCAAAACUCUCCCUGUAUCCUCUUACUGUUGUAAUGGCUUAUAUCAAUUUGGGUGUUUAUCGUUAUCAUUGAUAUUACUGUUCGGGAUAAUUAUUGUUAAAUCUUGUCGUAGUAGUCACUACACCACAUCUCAAGGCAACAUGUUAUAUUUGUUGUUACAAACUUUUAACUUAUAGAUUCUAAGUCGUAUUUAGUGGAAAGUUCAGUUGAAAAAAUGCACUUGGGUGAUUAUCUAUUUGUAGCCUAUCGAAUUGAGCUUAUUCGUAGUAAGUGAGUCCAUGAAGUAAGUUACGAGGAGUUUAGGAGCAGAGAAUUUGAAGUCUAUGAGGAGUGGUGUGGAGGCAACUGAACGAAGAAGAGAAAAAGUUCAGUGUAAUGAAAGCGACAAUCGUGUGAGAGCAAUUCAUUGUUGCAGCACUAUAUAAUAAAAGCUCUAGUGCGUUUCAGAAUCAUUUGACUGUGGAAGUAGUCCUGAAAACUGGAGGAUUUGUUUAAUCUGGGAAGUAGUUAACUAUCCUUUAAAAAAAAAAAUAUUACUUUUUAAGGCCAUUUCUUUAUGCAAGCAUUACAUGUAGUGUGUGUAAAGUAAAUUUCACUGAUGAAUGAUGCACUCGAGUAGGAUCUCUUUAUGAAAUUCCAGUAGUUGUUUGUGAAUUGUGAUAUAUCCUUGAGAGUUGAAUCAAAUGUAGGUCUAAUCGCAAGUGGACAUCAAUCCAAAGAAAGGCACAAUUUGGAGUCUUAUGUUUAAUCCAAAGAGCAUAUAUUUGUCAAUUUGGUUUGAUGGAAUUGAGUUAUGAAUCACUUUUUGUGUUCUCUGACUUUCAAUCACACAUGUUCUCUUUGUAAUCAAUAAAAACGCUGUAAAAUGAUAUUAACAUAUAGGUGCGUCGCGUAACUAAAUUUGAAGAUGAAAAUGCAUGUUCGAAUAAAUAAUAGUGAGCUGUCCGAUUGAUGUAUAUCGUCAAAUCGAAACAAAAUCUUUUCCUUAUAGAAUUAGCUAAGCAUGCUGUUUCUGAAGAAUUAAGGCUGUUACUAAGUUCACCAGCUCUUUUGGGUUGUAAAGAAUGAUAGUUUUGGAUGUUUGAUACUGAUAGGCCUUGGUAACAUUACUGCAAAUGAAUCAAAGAUUUUCCCAGCUGAAUUUCUGCGCUGGAUCUCUUUCAGUUUUUAUUAUUUUCUUGCGAAACAAUUGGUGUUCUAUGUUUCUUCAUUUUGAAUUUGUAAACACAGCACAAGUUUAAAGUAUUACCUCCGCUUCAUUUUUUACCUGGCCCCUUACAGCCACCACUUCUCAGCGCAAGCUUUAGCAAUUAGAAUAAUUUAAUUUGGUUUUUGACAUCUGUUUUCUAGUUCUAUGUGUGUAAUAAAAUUAUUGCACGAAGCAGUAUUGCGUGAUUACAUACUUUACCUAAGGUGCGUGCUGAAAUUCAACAGAGGGGCGGGGAUGAAUUGGAAAUUUUCUGUGAGUCGAUUAUUGGCUUUUCACAGUCGACUUUCCUACAGAAUAAUACACUUCACAAAAUAGACUAGGUCCGAAAUAAUCAAGAUUCAAGGUAAUAAAUAAUCGAAUUUAAAGUAAAGUCACAAAUUUUAUCCUGGUUCGUAACAUCAAUGUAGUGCCUACUUCCAUUCACCUUGGGUUUCAGUAUUUCCUUAAUCGUUCAAUGUCGGGCUCGAGUACAAUUAUGGGAAACAAGUUUUGAAGACUUAUUUUGUUCUUCAGAUCUUGUGACACUGCUUCAGUUACGAAGUUGACUAGAUCCUACUCUUUAUACAACAAUUGUAAACUAAGAAUUACAGAGCUUCGUGAGACUAAGAUUAAGCCACUUUGUAACUCUUCUUUGAAGUUGCGUAACGUUGUGCAUCCUUAGUCUUCUUCUUUAAUAGUUUUCAACUGCUACUCUUUGUAAGGAAACCCAAGAGAUUUAUUCUCAAUCAAAGAUUUGAAUUGAUUCCUUGAUUGAGGAAAGUAGCCGUAUGAUAUGUCCAUAUCAGAUAUAUCCAUAUACGGCUUUUAUUCUCGUCCAUAUUAUAUAUGUCUGUCAUCUUUUCUUCUUUUUGGUCUUGUAGUGAUUGAUACUUUUGCAAGUUUGUUUGUGAUCUUUUCUUUCUUUUACUUCGUUGUGAUUGAUCUGAUCUGCCACGAUUCGGGAUCGGGAUCCUCUUUCCGUUUGUUUUUGUUUUGAUUGAUUCGCUUGGAUGCCGCGGAUCAUAAUUUGACCUCCUUCCAUUACUGGAGCCGGCUUCCUUACUUGCUUUCUUCAUCUUUCCAUCAUUAGAAGUUUUUCAAUAUCCUGCAAAGAUCUAUUCAUUAGUUUAUUAUUAUUAAAACGUAAACUUAGGAGGCUAACACAUGCCUCUUGGUGGUCCCUCGUCAUAUUUAAAUCAUGGGACCUUCUCUGAUUAGGUUGAUUAUGUUACAACUCAAUUAACAAUAUCAAAUUUUAUUUUUUUUGGUUUCCAUCCGGUAUACGGUAUCCAUAUUGGAGCUCGAUUAAUUCAAAUUCGCGCCAAGUAGAACCCCAUUCGGGAGAUAGCGCUCCCUUUUCAUGCCCAGAGCUCGAAAAGAAAAAGAUAUUCUCCAAAUAAUCUUAUGCAUUGUCUGAGAAUAUAGUCAUUUCCAGGGGGUAUAAAUUAAUAAAAUUCCUGCCAAUAUCUUUAUAGUGGUUUUAAGUGCUAUAUGAAUGAGAAAUGAAUUUCUGUCUUCGAAAAAGAUAAUAGAAGAAAAGAUAUCAUUUGAACAACUUCUUUUAUCUUGAAUGAGUUGCAAUAAAAGACUAGUGUCACGGGCCUAUUUGGCUCCAAAGCCCCAUAAAUGUUGAUCCGAACUUGUAAUUUGACCUUCCAAAGAUACCCUCACGUUGGCCUUGUCAAGAGACGUUGUGGAAAUCCCGUCGGGCUCCGAAAUGCACCCAAAACGUUCGGAAUUGUGUCCAAAACUGGAUGAAUUUAAUGGGUAGUGACGCGGGGCGUCACACUAGCCUCAUAUUUAAUAAUAGAUUUUCUGUAUAUUUGUUUUUCAGUCACAUACUUUGUGUGUUUCAUUCCGUCUUCAAGUUUGACAAAAUUGUUGGUUGUUUGAGGUAUCACUACGGUGUCGUUUGAUUGGGAAUAUAGUUAUAUUGGGAUUAGUUAUGUUGGGAUAAGUUAUGAUGGGAUAAGUUAUACUGGAAUUAGUUAUGCUGAGAUUAUUUUUUAUUAAGUGUUUGGUUUGUUGUUUUCAAAUUAAUAUGCAUGGUAUAAUUUCAAAGAAUAAAGUAUUUGAUUACCAAAAUACCCCUAUCUUAUUUAACUUCUUUUUUGUUUAUAUAUAUUUGUUUUCAAGCUUUAAAUAUUUAUUCUUAAAAAUAAAACUUCCAUCUUAUUUAGCUUAUUUUUUUUGUGUGUGCAUUUUCAUGUUUAUAUCGUGUGUAUUUUAAAAAUAAAUCUUUCAUCUUAUUUAACUUUAAUUUUUUUGCAUGUGCCUUCCCAUGAUUAUACUGUGUGCGUUUUAAAAAAAAUCUUACUACAACUUAUUUAGUUUGAAUUAAAAACUUCCAGCUUAAGUUUGUUAAAGUAAAAGAAGAUUUGUUGUUUAUGUCACUUCAUUUGAACACAUAUUACUCAUAUAAUAUAAAAUAUUAAAAUUCAUUUUAAUUGAUAUAUACAAUAUCAAUUUUCAAGUUAUUAAAAAACUAUUUAAUUUAAAAUAUGUAAUUGAACAAUAGAGUCGAUUGUGAAAUGAUAAUGUGUAUUAAAAUUAGACAAUGCCUUUGUACUUGUUAAAAUAUUUUAUAGAUUACUAGUGAAUAGUAAUUAUUAUUAUAAAAUCUACUUACUUUAAUUAAUCUUUUCAUUGUGUAGUAAGAACUUUUUGUGUUAUCAAUUCACAAAAAUAAUACUUGAAAGGAAAAAGUUGAUGUUGAAUUUCAUUUUUCUAUGCUUAAAAAAUUAUAGUACCUACAUUUUUUUGGAUGUAUAAAAAAUUAUAGUACCUUGUUUUGAUCCUUAUUAAUGUAUGAAUCUAACAUAUUUUAUUUUUUAAUUUGUUAAUUUUAUAUUUUGAUCCUUUAUAUAAGAAAAUAGCGUAUAAGUUUAUAAUGGGAUGAAAAAAAUGUAAAAUUUAAUUAAUAAUAGGUUAAUUUUUCUUAGUCAUAUAUUUCCUUCGUUUCAAAAUAAGAUAUUUUAGUCUUUUUAAUUUGUCAUAAAUAACACGUUUUAGAUAAUCAAGUAGAUAUCAAUAAUCUUUUUUCAAUUUCAAAAGCAAUAACUAGAGAUGAUGAAAAAGACUGGAAAAAUGUGUUUGUAAUGAAUUUGGGGGUAUUUUUGUCAUUUAUUUAUCCCGGAAUAAAUUAAGGUGGGAUAACUUAUACCACCAAAUAUGUGGUAUAACUUAUCCCGGGACUAUUAUUAAUCCCGGGAUAAGUUAUCCCAAGUAUUGCCAAACCAAACGAUGUAUUAAAAAGUUUAUCCCGAAAUUAUUAUUUUAUUUCGAGAUAACUUAUCUUAGUACCUCACACCAAACGGCCCCUACCGGUCUACUUCAACAUGUAUACUCUUUCUUAUCUUGGAGGUAGGGGUGUGCAUCGGUCGGUUCGGUUCGGUUUUACGUGUUAUUGGUUCGAUUUAUCGAUUUUUGAUUUUUAAAUAUGUAAAACCAAUGACCAACCAAUAAGAUAUUUUCUUAUCGGUUUCGGUUUAUCGGUUUUUGGUCCUUAACGGUUCGAUUUUCGGUUUAACCAAUAAGAAAAUAUUUAUAAAAUAGAAAUAGUAACAACUAACAUAAAAAAAAUGAAAUCUUAAUUACCGCAAAAACCUACGCAAUGCAUUUUAGUUUACAGGAAUCUUCAAACUUGAACUGAAUGUUAGUUAGGAAAAAAAUUGAAGCCUAACUGUUGGAAGCUAUAAAUGUUUCAAGUUUUUAUUACGAUAAUAGCCGAACUUUAUAUUAUGCAUUUGUUGCCCAAAAUAGGUUAAUAUUUUGUGAAUCACUGAAUUAUGAAUUUGUAGUACAUAUAAUCUAUAUACAUACACAUAUUUAUCUCUCUCUAUAUAUAGAGAGAUAGAUUUAAAUAUAUAAAUAAAUAGGGAUAAAACAAUAACUUAGUGUAUUCUUAUUGGUUUAUCGGUUUAACCGAUAACCCAAUAAGCUAAAACCGAUACCGAACGGUUUACCCAAUAAUUUUUUUUAUAAAACCAAUAAAAAUUUGUUAAUCCGAUAACCUAAUACCAAUAACCCAAUAAUAUUUUUAUCUGUUUGGUGUAUCGGUCGGUUCGGUUUUUCUACAGCCCUACUUGCAGGAAAUAAUCAACAUAUUAGGUAAAGUUAGAUAAUUAAAUUUUUUAAGGAUACAUAUUCUAUAGACUCGAAUGUUUUUAUAGAAUAUUUUUCUUUGUGUUUCUAAUUUAUUUGAUUCUCCUACUUAUAAUUUUGAACACAUGAUACGGAAGAUUUUUUUUUUUUUUUUUUUUGAAGAAUUAAAGAUUCAAAUGUAAUAUAUCAAGCCAUCUUAAUGAUUUUUGAAUUAAAUAAUAAUAAUAAUAAUAAUAAUAAUCAAUUACAUAAUUCAAAGCUAAGUUAUUUGAACAUUAAAAUUUUACUUGGCAUUAUCAAAAUAAAAAUACAAAUCAAAGUAGAAGGUAAAGAUAAGAAAUUUGAUUUACUAAAAAGGCAAACACCUAAAUUACAUAGCCAAGAACGCACAAUCGAUUAAUAUUACUCCAUCGAAUCAGCGAUCCGCGAAAACCAAAAGUAUCGAAUCACAGAUGACCACGUGGAUAGAAACUAUAUGCAAUAGCCAAUAUUAACCGUCCAUUCUCUACUUCAUCAACGGUUCAUAUUCACGAGCCGCGUUAGCCGAAAUUAACCAAUCAAACAACAGAAUCAAAACUCUAUAUAAUCCUCCCUUCCCCCAAUUCCAUUUCUCAUCACUCACGCAUUCUCUUCAUUUAAAUUCCAAUUCAUCUUUCUGUAAAGUCUCUCAACAAUGGCACCAAAGGCAGCAGGGAAAAAGCCAGCUGAGAAGAAGCCAGUAGAGGAGAAGAAGGCCGGGGGAGUGCCUGCUGAGAAGAAGCCCAAGGCCGGGAAGAAGCUCCCGAAGGAUGCCAGCGGCGCUGACAAGAAGAAGAAGAAGGCAAAGAAGAGCAUUGAAACCUACAAGAUCUACAUCUUCAAGGUGCUGAAGCAGGUGCAUCCAGAUAUCGGUAUCUCCAGCAAAUCAAUGGGUAUAAUGAACAGUUUCAUUAAUGAUAUAUUUGAGAAGCUUGCUCAGGAAGCUUCUAGAUUGGCUAGGAUCAACAAGAAGCCUACUAUCACUUCUAGGGAAAUUCAGACUGCUGUUAGGCUUGUGUUGCCUGGUGAAUUGGCUAAGCACGCUGUUUCUGAAGGGACCAAGGCUGUUACGAAGUUCACUAGCUCUUAGGCUUUAAAUUGGGGAUCUUUGGGGUUUUGGGUCUAUGUAAAGGUUCCUAGUUUUGGAAGUUUGAUAUGUAAUUGUCUUACUAUGAUUACUGCAAAUGAAUCAAGGCUUAUUAUCUAGUGAAAUUCUGUGUUACUUAUUAUUUUGUUUAUCGUAUUGUGGCGAUAAUAUUGGCGUUCUAUGUUUUGUCAACCGAAAUUCUUAAACAGAGCAUGAUUUGGUGUAUUGUCACUGUGAAUUGCAACGAAUAAUUGUGAUUUACCAUAAGCAUGACACCGUUCUGAUUAAGUUAUAAUCAUACUUUUGAGUUAUACCAACGAUUUCAAACUGUUCUAUAAAUUUUUUGAGUCUUGGUGUGGAGUUUAAAUACAUUUAACUGUUAUUUCUGUGGAAGAAAAUAUCCAAUAUUAUUGCCUUGUCAAAAUGCAAAUCAUUUCAAAAUGAUAUAAUUGUUUUCUGUUCUUUAAAUUAUUCUUGUUUUUUUUUUUUUUUUUUUGGGUUCUUUUCUAUCUUCUCUGUUUGCCUAAAUUUUGUUAUCUAAUAUUUGAUAACAAAAUUGAAGAGGACAUUUCAAUUUUGAAGAGGAAGUGGUUAAUUAUUGAAGAGGAUGCGUUUAAUCUGGUAAGUAGUUAAUUAUCCUUUUCAAUUCUCUUAUUAGGACAUUUCUUUAAGCAAGGAUUAUUCAUGUAUUAUUUGUUUGGUUUGGUGGAAUUGUGUUAAGUUAGAUGAAAUUAUUUUUAAGCUUUUAAUGUUUACUAAAAUGGAUUUGUAUUCUUAAUUUAUGAACUUACUUUUUAUAAUCACUUGCUUACUAUACACUUAUUCUCGUGCUAAUCAAUAAAACUUUUUAAAAUGAUAAGAAUGAUAUCAUCACAUAGGUGCAAUGGAUUAAGAAUUUUAAGUGGAUAAUGCAAGUUUAAAUUGAAAAUAAUGAGCAUAUCCGAUUUAUAUUUAAUGGCAAAUCUUUUUUUUUUGGCUUAAAAGUAUUUAAUAUCAAAUCGAAUGAAAUUUAUGUAAAAUCAUUUUUGAAUGAAUUUAAAGAAUAUCUUAAUUUUCUGGUUCAUAAAGGUUGAAGUCGCAUCUAAUUUUUUGAUAUAGCAAACAUAUGUGAAUUCAUCUACUUUUUCAAGAGAAAUGCAUCAUCAAAAUCAAUAAAAAGAUCAAUAUGGACCAUGAUUCAAAUGGGAUUGCGCUUGUCAAGCUAAGCAAGCGCUAAGCUUUUGCUAGUGGCCGGAAUGACAAUGUGAAGACUCUUUAAUGCCCAAGUUUUGAUGUAGACAACAUUCAAUUUUGUACAAGUCUAAUUAUGAUAACUUUCAUGUCUUUCACAACAAAGGAAAGAGAGUCGGCUAACAUAAUUUUUGCAUAUAUCUAAUUAUGAUAAUGCACAUGUCCUUCACAACAAAGAAAAGAGUGGCGGCUAUUAUGCCUUUAUUUAACAUGGAAUGAAUUCAUCAAGUCAGAAAUUUAUACUUAGCUAAGGAGAACAUGAAGCAUCUAUUGAAGGACGAGCAAAGAAAAUUUUCACCACCUAUUGCAUAAUACUGAAACAAUCAUAUCUAGUUGUUUGAGUCUAAUGAAUGAAGUUUAGAAUUUGAAUUUGGAGUUGUAAUUUUAAACCUUAUUUGAGCUAGUUAAUUUGAGUUUUGAUUGUUACUCUUUAGGAUGGGUCUUUCAUAUAAAUAAAUUAUUCAAUUUCUUUAUAAUUUAGGUGAAAUCUGGUUGGAACAAGUUUUUCCACAAAGCCAUGUUGUUCACUUGAAAUUCUAAACCAAGAAGACUCAAAUAAAUCAUAUCUUCUUCAUUUUCGUUUGUUUUCUCCCUCCUUUCGCUGGAGUUGUCGGUGACUUAAAAAAGUUAAAUUGGAUGGAGAAAAAAUAUUUUCUUAGUAGUAUUUUUUAUGUUUAUUUUUAUUGAUUCAUAACAGAUGUUGUACACCCUUAAUAAAUACUCCUCCCAUAUUAUUUUACUUUAUCUCAAAUUUUUUAAUUUGAUUUCUCGUUUUACUUGUCAUUUUUUAUAAAUUAAUAAGAGACAAAUUUUUCCCCAUAUUUUAUCCUUUAUAUUAAUUACUUUUUCUUCAAAUUAUAAUGUAAACAUCAUAGUAUAGUAGCCAUAUUAUUAAUUAUUUUUUUAAUUAAUGUACCAAAUUAAUUUGGGACAAGUAAAAUGUGAGGAAAGAAUAAUAAAUAAAAAGCAUAUUUUAUCAUGAAACGCCCAUCAGUGAUUUAUAAUUUGAUGAACUUGAAAAAGAUACUCUUAUGAUAUAAUUAAUGAAGGAUAAAUUAGAAAAGAAAUAAUUUUCUCGAGUCAACAAAUAAAAUUUAGAAUAUACUUCUCUGUUUAUCUUUACUUGUUCAUUUUUUUAUUUUGGGUUGUCUAACAAUAUUUGUUUAACAUAAAAAUAAUAAUAUAUUAUUAUUUUUAACUAUUUAUUUUUAGUACUAAAUACGAUUUAUUUUUAAUUUUUUUAUGAUUCAAUUUUACUUCUAUCAUCUCCUACUUUUUAAUUUUGAUGUCAAUAAAAUAAAUAAAUAAAAAUAAAUGGAGGAAAUAUUUUGGGAAAGGAAAAGGUGAGGGAGGAAGUAUUUUUUCACUUCGUAAACAAUUAAUACAGCCAUUACUGAUCGUCCAUUCCCCCCUUCAUCAACGGUUAACAUUCAUGAUCCACGCUAACCUAAUGUAACCAAUCAAACAACAGAAUCGAAACCCUAUAUAAUUAUCACUUCACCGAUUCCAUGCCUCAUCACUCACGCAUUUUCCUCAUCACAAUUUCCAUUAAUCACUCUGUGAAAUCUCUCAACAAUGGCACCAAAGGCAACUGGGAAAAAGCCAGUACAAGAGAAGAAGGCUGAGGGAGUUCCUAAGAAGCCCAAAGCCGGGAAGAAGCUCCCAAAGGAUGCUGGCAGCGCUGACAAGAAGAAGAAGAAGGCAAAGAAGAGCAUUGAAACCUAUAAGAUCUACAUCUUCAAGGUGCUCAAACAGGUGCAUCCAGAUAUUGGCAUUUCCAGCAAAUCAAUGGGUAUAAUGAACAGUUUCAUUAAUGAUAUAUUUGAGAAGCUUGCUCAGGAAUCAUCUAGAUUAGCUAGGAUCAACAAGAAGCCUACUAUCACUUCUAGGGAAAUUCAGACUGCUGUGAGGCUUGUGUUGCCUGGUGAAUUGGCUAAGCACGCUGUUUCUGAAGGGACCAAAGUUGUCACUAAGUUUACUAGCUCUUAGGCUUUUAGUUUGGGGGAUCUUUUGGGUUUUUGGUCUAUGUAAAAGCUGGAAGGCUUUGGUGUUUAAUAUG
RNAcentral lists this long non-coding RNA (43187 nucleotides) under Capsicum annuum. Its description in RNAcentral is "long non-coding RNA (CANN_LNC009201)". The record is from RNAcentral. Lineage: Eukaryota; Viridiplantae; Streptophyta; Magnoliopsida; Solanales; Solanaceae.